GUUUUAAUAGUUUAAGUAAAACAUCGGUCUUGUAAACCAAAAAUAAGAAACCCCCCUUUUUUUAAAACU
This 69-nucleotide transfer RNA is filed under the name Prumna arctica. RNAcentral's name for it is "tRNA-Thr". It matches the Rfam family "tRNA". Rfam says of the family: Transfer RNA (tRNA) molecules are approximately 80 nucleotides in length. Their secondary structure includes four short double-helical elements and three loops (D, anti-codon, and T loops). Further hydrogen bonds mediate the characteristic L-shaped molecular structure. tRNAs have two regions of fundamental functional importance: the anti-codon, which is responsible for specific mRNA codon recognition, and the 3' end, to which the tRNAs corresponding amino acid is attached (by aminoacyl-tRNA synthetases). tRNAs cope with the degeneracy of the genetic code in two manners: having more than one tRNA (with a specific anti-codon) for a particular amino acid; and 'wobble' base-pairing, i.e. permitting non-standard base-pairing at the 3rd anti-codon position. Lineage: Eukaryota; Metazoa; Arthropoda; Insecta; Orthoptera; Acrididae. The record is from RNAcentral.